RNAcentral lists this ribosomal RNA (398 nucleotides) under Bacillus cereus. RNAcentral's name for it is "bacterial SSU rRNA". It matches the Rfam family "Bacterial small subunit ribosomal RNA", at positions 1146 to 1533 of the family's 1533-position model. The record is from RNAcentral. Lineage: Bacteria; Bacillati; Bacillota; Bacilli; Caryophanales; Bacillaceae.
UGACUGCCGGUGACAAACCGGAGGAAGGUGGGGAUGACGUCAAAUCAUCAUGCCCCUUAUGACCUGGGCUACACACGUGCUACAAUGGACGGUACAAAGAGCUGCAAGACCGCGAGGUGGAGCUAAUCUCAUAAAACCGUUCUCAGUUCGGAUUGUAGGCUGCAACUCGCCUACAUGAAGCUGGAAUCGCUAGUAAUCGCGGAUCAGCAUGCCGCGGUGAAUACGUUCCCGGGCCUUGUACACACCGCCCGUCACACCACGAGAGUUUGUAACACCCGAAGUCGGUGGGGUAACCUUUUUGGAGCCAGCCGCCUAAGGUGGGACAGAUGAUUGGGGUGAAGUCGUAACAAGGUAGCCGUAUCGGAAGGUGCGGCUGGAUCACCUCCUUUCUAUGGAGA